RNAcentral lists this ribosomal RNA (291 nucleotides) under Clostridioides difficile. Its description in RNAcentral is "partial 16S ribosomal RNA". It matches the Rfam family "Bacterial small subunit ribosomal RNA", at positions 1 to 299 of the family's 1533-position model. The record is from RNAcentral. Lineage: Bacteria; Bacillati; Bacillota; Clostridia; Peptostreptococcales; Peptostreptococcaceae.
UUUUAUUUGAGAGUUUGAUCCUGGCUCAGGAUGAACGCUGGCGGCGUGCCUAACACAUGCAAGUUGAGCGAUUUACUUCGGUAAAGAGCGGCGGACGGGUGAGUAACGCGUGGGUAACCUACCCUGUACACACGGAUAACAUACCGAAAGGUAUGCUAAUACGGGAUAAUAUAUUUGAGAGGCAUCUCUUGAAUAUCAAAGGUGAGCCAGUACAGGAUGGACCCGCGUCUGAUUAGCUAGUUGGUAAGGUAACGGCUUACCAAGGCGACGAUCAGUAGCCGACCUGAGAGG